Molecule: ribosomal RNA, 444 nt
Filed under: uncultured bacterium
Lineage: Bacteria
Description: SSU rRNA
Rfam family: Bacterial small subunit ribosomal RNA
Source: RNAcentral
AGAGCGAACGCUGGCGGCAGGCCUAACACAUGCAAGUCGAGCGCCCGUAGCAAUACGGGAGCGACAGACGGGAUAGUAACACGUGGGAACGCGCCCUUCGGUUCGGAAUAACUCAGGGAAACUUGAGCUAAUACCGAAUACGCCCUUACGGGGAAAGAUUUAUUGCCGAAGGAACGGCCCGCGUCCGAUUAGCUAGUUGGUGAGGUAAUGGCUCACCAAGGCUACGAUCGGUAGCUGGUCUGAGAGGAUGACCAGCAUCACUGGGACUGAGACACGGCCCAGACUCCUACGGGAGGCAGGCAGUGGGGAAUAUUGGACAAUGGGCGCAAGCCUGAUCCAGCCAUGCCGCGUGGAUGAUGAAGGCCUUAGGGUGUAAAGUCCUUUAACGGGAAGAUAAUGACGUACCCGUAGAAUAAGCCCGGCUAACUUCGUGCCAGCAGCCGC